This 194-nucleotide unclassified non-coding RNA is filed under the name uncultured fungus. RNAcentral describes it as "sequence contains ITS1, 5.8S rRNA gene". Lineage: Eukaryota; Fungi. The record is from RNAcentral.
AAGAGUUAGGGUCUUCAUGGCCCGACCUCCCAACCCUGUGUUUAUUAAACCCCUUUUUUGCCUCGGCGUGCCGGUCUUCACCGACCACCAGGGGACCUUGACCGGUCCCCCGGCUCGCGCCCGCCGCUGGCCCUUUACCUAAAACUCUUGAAUAACCGUGUCAUUGUCUCAGUCCUUUGAUUAAAUCAAAAACA